Non-coding RNA from Paramuricea clavata, 767 nucleotides. The record is from the annotation of a GenBank genome assembly. NCBI's taxonomy places the organism in Eukaryota, Metazoa, Cnidaria, Anthozoa, Malacalcyonacea, Plexauridae.
AUAUAUCUAACUCUAGUAAUUUGACAUCAUUCAUAAUUUUCGCAGAUGACACAAAUCUAUUUUACUCUGGAAAAAACAUUGUACAACUGGAAUCAACAGUAAAUAAUGACAUUAAGAAAAUCUCUGAGUGGUUUAAUGAUAAUGAAUUAACACUUAAUGUUAAGAAGACAAAUUUUAGUAACUUUAAGACAAAGAAAAAGAAACUAAAUCAUAAUAUAACAAUAAACAUAGGGAAUAAUCAGCUAUCUCAAGUCAAUAGUACAAAGUUUCUAGGAAUUAUUAUCGAUGAACAUUUAACAUGGAAUGACCAUAUAAAUUAUGUAGCAAAUAAAAUAUCGAAGACAACUGGUAUACUCACAAAAACUCGUCACUUUCUGAAUACUAACACACUAAUAACAUUAUACAAUACGCUUGUUUACCCAUAUCUAUAUUAUGGUGAUAUAGUGUGGGCUAAUAAUUAUCCAUCCAGAUUAAAAAAAUCAUAAAAAUAAAAAAAAAGCAAUUCGGUUUAUUACAUUCAAUCCAUACAUUGCAAAGUCAGCGCCUCUUUUUCAACAGCUAAAAUUAUUAAACCUUAAUCAAAUAAACGAUUUAUGUACUAGCCUUUUCAUGUUUGAUUACAUAAAUGGAAACCUACCAGCCUCAUUUAAUGAUUAUUUUACCACAAAUACUAAAAUACACCAUCAUGACACCAGAAAGUCAAAUUCUAUACACCAAAAAUAUUUCAGAACAAAUUACGGGAAAUUCUCAAUUAAAACGAAAGGAAC